GCCAGAUCCUCAUCUGGAGUAAAUAGAAAUAGUUUCAAAGUCAUUCUGUCGAAGUGUGAAGCUCUGAAGAGCAAUAUUGACCUGCAGCAAAGUUUCUGGAAGAUAAAUUAAGUCUGCUGUUAUAGUCCUGCAGCAUAUUGUUUCCAGAUGGUGGUCUUCUAAUAAAGGAGAGUCUGGAGACUGAAUGACACAGGGAUUGCUGUUGGAUCGUGCAGUCUAUCACCUCCAUGGCACUGGGCCUAUCCAUCUUUCUAGGGGCUGCUGGUUUGUGCGUGAGCACAAAUCCAAACCAAACUUCCAAAGUGAGUAAUUCAGAUGCCUUGUGUCCUCUGGUCCCAAAUUUCUUCCCUUACUUGGGGGCAUCAGUGUCUUGCCACUGUCUACGUCAUCAUGCUUUUUGUGAUUACCGUCAACAUUCCGAAGAUCUGAAGAGCUUCCUCAUUGUUCUUAUUUUUAAUGUCGGGGAGAGGACAGCUGCUCCUGACCCACCCUCCAGAAUAAUGGGAAAUGUUGCCUGUGAUGGUGUAUAUGGCACCAGAAGUUCUGACAUAGCUACUUUACCAAGGGUUUGCACAUCAGGUAAAAUUUCAGAAGAAAUUAAUGGAAGAGCUGCUAGUGACUAAAAUCGAAUCAGUAUUUCACCUCCACAUGACAUGGUUUGCUUCCUUCCAGCUAGCAUUAAAUAGCAAGCAGCAAAUAAAGACACAUUGCAGUGGAACCA
Molecule: long non-coding RNA, 721 nt
Filed under: Cyanistes caeruleus (blue tit)
Lineage: Eukaryota; Metazoa; Chordata; Aves; Passeriformes; Paridae
Description: lncRNA (ENSCCEG00000015939.1)
Source: RNAcentral